Molecule: non-coding RNA, 45 nt
Filed under: Trichobilharzia regenti
Lineage: Eukaryota; Metazoa; Platyhelminthes; Trematoda; Strigeidida; Schistosomatidae
Source: RNAcentral
AUCCAGCUGUAUAAUCCCAAAUAGGAUGAAAUGCGCAUCCUGGAU